The sequence is a non-coding RNA, 187 nucleotides long. It matches the Rfam family "6S / SsrS RNA". From Rfam's summary of the family: E. coli 6S RNA was the first non coding RNA to be sequenced, but its function was unknown until recently. It consists of 184 nucleotides that fold into an extended hairpin structure with a large single-stranded internal bulge.
GGUUCCCUGGGGUGUGCGAGAGCUCGUCUUGUGAUUGAUCCAACAUCGUCACGAGAGGGAGCCGAGCUCCGAGCCGCUUUUGUGCAAGCCCUCCAUUUGAGAGGGAAGCCUUCCGGCGGCCGGGCCAGCACCCACCUGCAGAGUGCGGGUCGAAAUCUCCGGCGGGUAACGGCACUUUGGGGAAAAG